UAAUACGUAGGGGGCAAGCGUUGUCCGGAAUUAUUGGGCGUAAAGCGCGCGCAGGCGGCUCUUUAAGUCUGGUGUUUAAUCCCGAGGCUCAACUUCGGGUCGCACUGGAAACUGGGGAGCUUGAGUGCAGAAGAGGAGAGUGGAAUUCCACGUGUAGCGGUGAAAUGCGUAGAUAUGUGGAGGAACACCAGUGGCGAAGGCGACUCUCUGGGCUGUAACUGACGCUGAGGCGCGAAAGCGUGGGGAGCAAACA
This 253-nucleotide ribosomal RNA is filed under the name uncultured prokaryote. RNAcentral's name for it is "partial 16S ribosomal RNA". It matches the Rfam family "Bacterial small subunit ribosomal RNA", at positions 521 to 774 of the family's 1533-position model. The record is from RNAcentral.